This is a non-coding RNA of Schizosaccharomyces pombe (fission yeast), 682 nucleotides long. Lineage: Eukaryota; Fungi; Ascomycota; Schizosaccharomycetes; Schizosaccharomycetales; Schizosaccharomycetaceae. The record is from the annotation of a GenBank genome assembly.
GUUUCCAAUCGUUCGUUUCUCAGGAUUAUUUGUCCAUUCAGCUUUAGCAGUGACGAUCAAAGAUUCUGACCUCAAAACAUAUAUACCUUUUUGAAAUUUUGCUUGUUUAAAAAUGGUGAGAAGUUUUUUCAAAUAAUAUUGAAUGAUACAGAUCGGCAGAAUGGUAAAAUCAUGCAAUAAACGUAUAUAUUUCAUCUAUGUGAUUAUUUUUGAAAUUGAUUUACCUAUUUUUUGAAUUCUAUAGAACCCGUACGGAAAUGGUUUAUAUAUGGUACGCAUGAUGCCCAAAUCAAAGCUUUUUCAGUUCCUUAAAUAACGUUUAUUUGCCAGUAAACUUCCUUAUUUGAGGGAAAUGCGAACAGAAAUCUCGUAGACUUAUUGCAUUUUCUAUUCGAUAUGACUUGGGUUUUGUUGGGAUCUACCGCUAAUGAUGUUUUAUUUUAUCGAUUUGCUGAUUAGGCAGAUUAGGAAAAUUAAUAAAAAACCAAAGCUGAUAAACGUCAGUUUUACCUUGACUCUCGGUAUAUGAUUUAGCGAUUUAUUAAUUUAGGACUAAAGUUUCCAGCUACGCUGUUUGGUGUCUAUUUGGGAUCCAAGUCGCUGUUUAAUAGGUGAAUUGAUGAGUUGAAAGUUUCGGGCUUGUCAUCGCUAUUGGUAUCGAAUAUAUAACAGUCAGUGGUAU